UACGGAGGGUGCAAGCGUUAUCCGGAUUCACUGGGUUUAAAGGGUGCGUAGGAGGGCAGGUAAGUCAGUGGUGAAAUCUUCGAGCUUAACUCGGAAACUGCCGUUGAUACUAUCUGUCUUGAAUACCGUGGAGAUGAGCGGAAUAUGUCAUGUAGCGGUGAAAUGCUUAGAUAUGACAUAGAACACCAAUUGCGAAGGCAGCUCGUUACACGAAUAUUGACUCUGAGGCUCGAAAGCGUGGGGAUUAAACAGG
RNAcentral lists this ribosomal RNA (253 nucleotides) under uncultured bacterium. RNAcentral describes it as "partial 16S ribosomal RNA". It matches the Rfam family "Bacterial small subunit ribosomal RNA", at positions 524 to 776 of the family's 1533-position model. The record is from RNAcentral.